RNAcentral lists this unclassified non-coding RNA (332 nucleotides) under soil metagenome. Its description in RNAcentral is "partial contains 5.8S ribosomal RNA, internal transcribed spacer 2, and large subunit ribosomal RNA". The stretch from base 1 to 120 matches the Rfam family "5.8S ribosomal RNA", at positions 35 to 154 of the family's 154-position model. The record is from RNAcentral.
GAUGAAGAACGUAGCAAAAUGCGAUAAGUAAUGUGAAUUGCAGAAUUCAGUGAAUCAUCGAAUCUUUGAACGCACAUUGCGCCCGCCAGUAUUCUGGCGGGCAUGUCUGUUCGAGCGUCAUUUCAACCCUCAAGCACAGCUUGGUGUUGGGACUCGCGUUAAUUCGCGUUCCCCAAAUUGAUUGGCGGUCACGUCGAGCUUCCAUAGUGUAGUAGUAAAACCCUCGUUACUGGUAAUCGUCGCGGCCACGCCGUUAAACCCCAACUUCUGAAUGUUGACCUCGGAUCAGGUAGGAAUACCCGCUGAACUUAAGCAUAUCAAUAAGCGGAGGA